This is a long non-coding RNA of Eupeodes corollae, 1284 nucleotides long. RefSeq lists it as uncharacterized. Lineage: Eukaryota; Metazoa; Arthropoda; Insecta; Diptera; Syrphidae. The transcript has 2 exons. The record is from RefSeq and is a predicted model, not a curated record.
AAAGGUAUAACAGAAAACGGAAAUUAAUGUGCGGUACGGUUGAAAUAUAGUGCGAAAAGUCGAAAGGACGAAAGGGCUUACCUUUGCAAGUAUUAUAGGUUUAUAGUGAUGUUGAUGUUGUGUUGAUGUUAAUACGAUAUACGAGUAACUGUGUAGAUAUGCAUUAUUUACAUUGGCCGAGAUUAGGUGUUUGUUGAAAAUAUCUGCGAUUAUGAUGAUAAAAGGAUAUUAUUCAUUUCCAAAUUAAUCGUAUACCUAUCUGGCAUACACACUCGAAAAAGGAUACAUCUAAAUAUAAAAUAACAUUCUACUACAUAUACUAUACGUAUGUGCAACAUGAUGGGUAUAAUUUAAAUAAUAUACAAGGAUGAAGCAGGAACAGCAACACACCUGGUAUUGACCAGUUUUUAGCAGUUUAUCAUGCUCAUUAAUCGUAUUACGAACCAAUCCGAUAGUUACUGUUGUUGUUGUUUUUAUUUUUGUUAAGAUUAAACAUCUCCAAGGACGGAACGGUAAUCAUUUCCAAAAUUAAACCAAAGGAUUUUAUUAGAAAAUUUCAACGAAUUUUUGAAACCCAAAUACAAAAAUCUAGCAAAAGAGGAGGGAAUUGAAAUUUCAAAAAUAACAAAAGAAAAAACACAAAAAAUAAUAUUAAAGGACUUAAAAAGGGAAUUGGCGAAGAAACAUAAAGAAGAUCAAAGAGCAAAAUAAUGAAGGAAAAUAAUUAAAAAUAAAUAAAAGAAAAAAAAAAACAAUAAUUUCCCCAGCAGCAGCGGUUACUUACACCAAAAAUAAAACAUCCCUACAUAAAUAUUUCGUUAGAAGCAUAUCCGGUUAAUUUUUAACGUGUUUUUUUAUUUUUCUACCCUUAUUGAGUGGUGAAUGUUUGUGUGUGUGUAACAUCGUUUUCCUAUUAAUUUCCCUUACCGUGGUCGAUAGAUUCUCGUUUCAUUUAGAUUAUGUUGUUUGGUUUGUUCGAAUUUUGAAAUUCAUAUUUAAAGUUCAAUCCUCAAAAAAAAAAGCUGCUACAUUGUGCUUCAAUCAAAAUGGUAUCGAAUAUCAAAGCAUUCUAAAAAGUUUUAGAUAAAUUCAGUUCGGUUCUUGCGGAAAAUAAAAUUAAUUAUAAGUCAGUGGUCAAGGAUACCUUAACAUAGAAAAUUGGAACAUGGAUCUGGAGAUGCAUUCUAUUCUGCGUAUCAUCGCUGGUGUCCUUAUUUCGGUGACACUUUUCACAAGACUCACUUCCGGACAAAUCGAUUGGGAUGACGACGAUGACCCAGGUAA